GACAGAGGGUGCAAACGUUGCUCGGAAUUACUGGGCGUAAAGCGCGCGCAGGCGGCCUUUUAAGUCUGAUGUGAAAGCCCACGGCUCAACCGUGGAAGGUCAUUGGAAACUGGAAGGCUUGAGUACAGAAGAGGAAAGCGGAAUUCCACGUGUAGCGGUGAAAUGCGUAGAGAUGUGGAGGAACACCAGUGGCGAAGGCGGCUUUCUGGUCUGUAACUGACGCUGAGGCGCGAAAGCGUGGGGAGCAAACAGG
Molecule: ribosomal RNA, 253 nt
Filed under: uncultured bacterium
Lineage: Bacteria
Description: partial 16S ribosomal RNA
Rfam family: Bacterial small subunit ribosomal RNA
Source: RNAcentral